CCUACGAGUGGCAGCAGUGAGGAAUAUUGGUCAAUGGGCGCGAGCCUGAACCAGCCAAGUCGCGUGAGGGAAGACGGUCCUAUGGAUUGUAAACCUCUUUUGUCGGGGAGCAAAAGACGCCACGCGUGGCGUUCCGAGAGUACCCGAAGAAAAAGCAUCGGCUAACUCCGUGCCAGCAGCCGCAGUAAUACGGAGGAUGCGAGCGUUAUCCGGAUUUAUUGGGUUUAAAGGGUGCGCAGGCGGAAGAUCAAGUCAGCGGUAACAUUGAGAGGCUCAACCUCUUCGAGCCGUUGAAACUGGUUUUCUUGAGUGAGUGAGAAGUAUGCGGAAUGCGUGGUGUAGCGGUGAAAUGCAUAGAUAUCACGCAGAACUCCGAUUGCGAAGGCAGCAUACCGGCGCUCAACUGACGCUCAUGCACGAAAGUGUGGGUAUCGAACAGGAUUAGAUACCCUGGUAGUC
This 459-nucleotide ribosomal RNA is filed under the name uncultured bacterium. RNAcentral describes it as "partial 16S ribosomal RNA". It matches the Rfam family "Bacterial small subunit ribosomal RNA", at positions 338 to 795 of the family's 1533-position model. The record is from RNAcentral.